CAAUAGCGUAUAUUAAAGUUGUUGCGGUUAAAAAGCUCGUAGUUGGAUUUCUGCUGAGGACGACCGGUCCGCCCUCUGGGUGAGUAUCUGGUUCGGCCUGGGCAUCUUCUUGGAGAACGUAGCCGCACUUGACUGUGUGGUGCGGUAUCCAGGACUUUUACUUUGAGGAAAUUAGAGUGUUUCAGGCAGGCGUAGCCGGAAUACAUUAGCAUGGAAUAAUGGAAUAGGACUUAGUCUCUUUGUUGGUUCGAGGGACUGGAGUAAUGAUUAAUAGGGAUAGUUGGGGGCAUUAGUAUUUAUUAGCUAGAGGUGGAAUUCUCUAAUUUGAUAAAGACUAACUUAUGCGAAAGCAUUUGCCAAGGAUGUUUUUCAUUAAUCAAGAACGAAAAGUUAGGGGAUCAAAGACGAUUAGAUACCA
This 418-nucleotide ribosomal RNA is filed under the name uncultured eukaryote. Its description in RNAcentral is "bacterial SSU rRNA". It matches the Rfam family "Eukaryotic small subunit ribosomal RNA", at positions 592 to 1017 of the family's 1831-position model. The record is from RNAcentral.